Molecule: long non-coding RNA, 643 nt
Filed under: Pongo abelii (Sumatran orangutan)
Lineage: Eukaryota; Metazoa; Chordata; Mammalia; Primates; Hominidae
Description: lincRNA
Source: RNAcentral
AACCAGCUGGGGACUUUUCUCAGAUCUUCACUGUGAGAACCUGCUAGAGUCCUUGGAGAUAAAACUCACGAAAGUAUAAAGAUAGCUCUAUGGCAAGGUCUUCUUGGAGUUUUUAACUCUCAGACUUAACCACAUUCAGCCUCCAGCAAUUCAUCAAUUACAGUUCAGGUUUUCCUAACCUUGUUCUGGUUCCUGCAGAGGCGCAAAGAUUUCUGCUUGUGAGUUUCUACUCUGGAAUGGAUGUUUUCUUUUAAAAAUGGUUUAUUGAAGUAUCAUGUACCUAUCUUAAGUGUACAGCAUGAUGAUGUGUAUGCCCAUGUAACCAUCACCUAGAAGGAUGAGAACCACAAGCGUGAGAACAUGAGGAUAAAUACACUUCGGGGAAAAAGAAAACAGACAGAGGCAGCAGAGAAUGAAGACGAGAAGAAGAGAAAAAGAGAAGUAGGAAGAGGAUGAAUUCAUUUCGCUUAUCUGGCAAAUGUGUAAUCUGAGUGAUAGAGGGAACAACAGAUUGGACCCAACUAGGAUCUCCCUUGGAGUGGAUCAGACUGAUGAUCUCCACCAUCCAAACGGUUCCUGAAUAAAAAAGGUGUCACCUACUUCAAUGUGACAUUGACCCCACCACUACAUCUUAAAGACACUG